GCGAAUGGAUUAAGAGCUUGCUCUUAUGAAGUUAGCGGCGGACGGGUGAGUAACACGUGGGUAACCUACCCAUAAGACUGGGAUAACUCCGGGAAACCGGGGCUAAUACCGGAUAAUAUUUUGAACUGCAUAGUUCGAAAUUGAAAGGCGGCUUCGGCUGUCACUUAUGGAUGGACCCGCGUCGCAUUAGCUAGUUGGUGAGGUAACGGCUCACCAAGGCAACGAUGCGUAGCCGACCUGAGAGGGUGAUCGGCCACACUGGGACUGAGACACGGCCCAGACUCCUACGGGAGGCAGCAGUAGGGAAUCUUCCGCAAUGGACGAAAGUCUGACGGAGCAACGCCGCGUGAGUGAUGAAGGCUUUCGGGUCGUAAAACUCUGUUGUUAGGGAAGAACAAGUGCUAGUUGAAUAAGCUGGCACCUUGACGGUACCUAACCAGAAAGCCACGGCUAACUACGUGCCAGCAGCCGCGGUAAUACGUAGGUGGCAAGCGUUAUCCGGAAUUAUUGGGCGUAAAGCGCGCGCAGGUGGUUUCUUAAGUCUGAUGUGAAAGCCCACGGCUCAACCGUGGAGGGUCAUUGGAAACUGGGAGACUUGAGUGCANAAGAGGAAAGUGGAAUUCCAUGUGUAGCGGUGAAAUGCGUAGAGAUAUGGAGGAACACCAGUGGCGAAGGCGACUUUCUGGUCUGUAACUGACACUG
Molecule: ribosomal RNA, 702 nt
Filed under: Bacillus sp. MYb209
Lineage: Bacteria; Bacillati; Bacillota; Bacilli; Caryophanales; Bacillaceae
Description: bacterial SSU rRNA
Rfam family: Bacterial small subunit ribosomal RNA
Source: RNAcentral